This is an RNA transcript of Cygnus olor (mute swan), 3168 nucleotides long. It is a transcript of the gene named chromosome 4 C4orf45 homolog, with no coding region annotated. The record is from RefSeq and is a predicted model, not a curated record. Lineage: Eukaryota; Metazoa; Chordata; Aves; Anseriformes; Anatidae. The transcript has 6 exons.
GCACUCAGAGGGGACAGCCAGCCACUGUCACCACGAUGGGCAGAGGAACCAAGGUGCAGAGGAGCUGGGACCCUCCCCAGGCAGGGAGAACCUGCUCCAAGCCUCCAUCCCCUACAAGAGCCACCAGGGGCUUGGCGCUGGUGGAUGCGAGGAUGGUGUUCUCAGGCCCAGAUGCCAUACGUGAUCACAGAACAAGGAGGGCUGAACACACUCACUACACAGGAGAGACAUCUCCAGCAAUAGAGGGUACCAGUGAUGCUAACUACUUGUGGCGGCCAGCCUCCUGUUCAUGUGCACCACCUCGCAGAUCUGACUGCCCUGGAGAAACUGGGUGGGGUGUGAGAGAGCUCAGCCAUUUCUCCAGGAAAAAUCUCCAGAGCGGAGUGCAGAUCAAGAGAGGACCCAUUUGGCAGUCUGCUGAAGACCAAGCCACACACCAAUACCAAAGUCCAUGAACAAGGCUAAUCUCUUAUAGCUGCUCAAAGGUACUUUUUUUUUUUUUUUCUCUCCAGAAAGGCAGCCCACUCCCUACGUUCUCAAACAACAAGGCCAUGGUCCACAGGCCAGGCUCACCUGGGACUUGGGCAGAUAUGAAGGCUACCUUCACCCACACAGCAAAUGGGCAGCUGUGAUUCAGGCAGCCCAGUCACCAGCACUUCCCAAAUCAAAAGGGAUGACCACUUCAAAGACAAAAACAAGAAGCGCGUGCAGAACCUCAGUAUCAAAUAUUUAAUCAUCCAGCAGGCGGAGACAACAAUUAGAAUCAGUAGUAGCAAAUACCUCCAGGCCAUCGUCUGGUGUAUAUUUUAAGUUUAAUGGAAACCAUAAGUAUUAAAGAUGAAAUCUUGUGCAAGCAGUUCUGCUAAUUAAAAAAAAACAGAAAAAAGACUCAUGCUCAUGGGUAGCCUACCAUACAUUUUUCUGAUGGUCUUGAGCAAGUUGCUGUUGAGAGUAGUUUGAUCUGUUUGCUUCAAGCGAGUUUUCACUAAAGCCAUUAUAAUCAUAACACUUCUGAUUCUAGCCUAAAGGAAAACAUUCUUACCUUCUCUACUACAGGUAACUAAUACAAAAAGCCUGUUAGGACUUCCCCGGUGGUUCAGGUAAGCAUGCAGCUGAUUCCCAAAGUGACAGUUCAACAUAUUUCAAUUCCACUACUCAUAAGCUAAAGGACUAUAGAUUAUUUUUUUUAUUAUUAUUAAGAGGAAGUAAGGAAGAAUUUCACAUUGUUCUAAGAUUCUUUAGAAAAGAUUAUCUGCUACUCCUGAAAGCCAGCAAAGAAUCAAAAGACUUUCCUCCUCAAGCUCAUUACAUGAAUCCAUUUUGUUCAAGAUGUCCAGUGAGGUACAGAAGAGCAGUAAAAAAAAAAGUUGAUGCUAGCUUCCUCUGCAACUUCUCAUUGACUGAACAGGAAAAAAAAUGAAGUCAAAAAUCAGAGGAGUAGCUUAAAAUGAGCUAGAAGGUGCAGGUAAAAUCUUUGUCAUACUGCUGACAAGCAACAGUUGCCGUCUCCACUGCCCUCUCACCCUGGCAUACUACACAACUCUGCAGUAAGGUUGCCAGUCAAGCAUCACAAAAUCAUCAGCACUUGUAUUUUAUCCAGUCUCAGGUUGGGUUUUGUUUUUUGUUGUGCCAUAAAAAAAUACUCUUCUGAUCAAUAACUGCAGAUCAAGAAACAUACACUUUUAAUCUUCAUACAUACUGCCUUACGCAUUUCUGACCUAUGCUAUUAUAUAUGCUUUUGUCAAAAUUUAAGUCAAAUAGAAUCACCAUUAAAAAAUGGACUUCUCCCCCAAGAGUUGAACGGAACACCCACCUUCCAUUCAUCCAUUAUUCUGUUCCUGUUAACAAAGACCUACAAACUCUGACAGAAGGUUCAAAGUGUCUUCAAUGUGGAUUAUAGAAAAACAAAAAUUACGAGCUACUAGGACUGCCAUUUUACUGUUUGUUUUUUUUUUAAGGAAGGAAAUAAAAUUAUUCCACCUCCAAAAGCCACUACACCACACGAAGCAUUCAGAAGUUGCAUAUACUAGGGCAGAACUGGAAGUAGUACUUCAGCUGCAGAAACAACUAAUGAGUUCAAAAAUGCCAAAAUUUAAGGUGUUCCCAUGCAAACAUGAUAUAAUUCUAACCUAAGUUGCAUGUUUUUCAAUAUAAAAAAGUAUCCAGAAAGGACACUGAUGUACUUGACCCUAGUACUUGACUUCAAGUAUUUAAAUUAAUACCACUAAUUUUAUCCAAAGCAGCAUCAAUUAAUACUAUUUUCAGUUGUUAAUGUUCAGUUCCACCUUCCUCUUCUGUCUGCUAGCAGUCAUUACACAAGCUUCCUACAAAUAAAGUUUCUCAAGGCUAUCUGCUGAAGACCAAGCCAGUUCUGUUUACUCAAAAGAAGACUACAGAAAAAAGAUACACAACUUCCCCCCAGCUACAACUGUGUUAAAAAUUGUGUUAUAAUUACUGCUGCCAGACUUGUGGGUAACUUUGCUGUAAUCAGCCAAAACAGCUAUCAAAAAGCAUUACUGAUCUGCUCUGAUGAACUCUACUACUAAUGUGGAGAGAAAAGGAUGCUAUGGGAUGGGAAGCAUGCACUAUGAGAAAGUAACAUCCCCUGCUGCAAUCCAUCUAACCCCAAGUGUUUCAGGUUUCAGUCUCCUCCCAAGAAUGCUGUAGGCAUGUCUGCCAGAUGGUCUGAAACAGCGCUGGCUGACAGGGUGGGCUAGACUAUGCAUAAAACACAAAGGUCAAGUAAACAUGCCAAUACACGUGUAACUGGGGAUAGAGAAGAGGCAUCCACUAGGUGAGGUUGGUAAAAAAACAACAAAACAAGAAUAAAAAAUUGUAUGGUAGUAAAAGUAGAGAAUGAGGAAAUUAAACAAAAUCUAAGCCAAAUUUCACAACUCUAAUCAUAAAUACAAUCACGCUAAAGUUGCCUAAGCAACUUUCGUUCUGUCUUAUUUUGGAGCAGCUGACUUUAAUCUUGGUCUAUUACAAGUAAACUAAGUUAAAAACAGUAUCUGUAACUGGACUGUAGCAUGCAUUCUUUUAAAUACAUUGUACCAACUUUGCUAUACCAAUAAAAUAAUAUCUGAAACAACCCAAUAAAAUACACAGUGUGCAAAACUCUGUAUUUGCUAUUUAAAACUAAACAAUUUUCAUUAGCUUCAGUUUUCA